GGGGGCGUAAAGGUUUCGACGGGGAUUUUGAAGUACGAUAAGCGAGUAGAGGUGCGUCAUCUCUUUAAACGGCGUACGUUUUAAAAUUAAACGACAAAAACAAUUUUGAACUAGCAGCUGCUUAAUUGCUGCUCGUCUUGCUCUUGAGUACCACGGCUUGAGUAAAGGCGUCGAUUAGUGGUGAACGUUAUGAGGUUAUGUCUGUACCCUUGUAACGCAUAACAGACUACUAAAAAUUAAGGCUUGUUUGUUUGCCUUAAUUUGAGGGAAUGGGAGUAAUCCACAAUAAUAAACUACACUCGUAGAAGCUCGUAUGAAUAGGUUUUCGGACACGAGUUCGAUUCUCGUCGCCUCCACCA
Molecule: transfer-messenger RNA, 359 nt
Filed under: Oscillospiraceae
Lineage: Bacteria; Bacillati; Bacillota; Clostridia; Eubacteriales
Also listed under: 1 other name
Description: JAAZZIT01 sp012800685 Standard tmRNA
Rfam family: transfer-messenger RNA
About the family: Bacterial tmRNA, also known as 10Sa RNA or SsrA, is named for its dual tRNA and mRNA-like properties. Its role is to liberate the mRNA from a stalled ribosome. To accomplish this part of the tmRNA is used as a reading frame that ends in a translation stop signal.
Source: RNAcentral